This 262-nucleotide ribosomal RNA is filed under the name uncultured bacterium. RNAcentral's name for it is "partial 16S ribosomal RNA". It matches the Rfam family "Bacterial small subunit ribosomal RNA", at positions 1239 to 1500 of the family's 1533-position model. The record is from RNAcentral.
CGAAAGAGAAGCGAAGCGGUGACGUGGAGCAAACCUCAGAAAGCCAAUCUCAGUUCGGAUUGUAGGCUGCAACUCGCCUACAUGAAGUUGGAAUCGCUAGUAAUCGCGAAUCAGAAUGUCGCGGUGAAUACGUUCCCGGGUCUUGUACACACCGCCCGUCACACCACGAGAGUUUACAACACCCGAAGUCAGUGGCCUAACCGCAAGGAGGGAGCUGCCUAAGGUGGGGUAGAUGAUUGGGGUGAAGUCGUAACAAGGUAAC